This 205-nucleotide ribosomal RNA is filed under the name marine snow associated bacterium Adriatic61. Its description in RNAcentral is "partial 16S ribosomal RNA". It matches the Rfam family "Bacterial small subunit ribosomal RNA", at positions 260 to 468 of the family's 1533-position model. The record is from RNAcentral.
AAGGCUCACCGAGGCUACGAUGGUAGCUGGUCUGAGAGAUGAUCAGCCACACUGGACUGAGACACGGUCCAGACUCCUACGGGAGGCAGCAGUGGNNNAUAUUGCACAAUGGGCGCAAGCCUGAUGCAGCAACGCCGCGUGGGUGAAGAGGCUCUUGGGUGUAAAGCCCUUUCGGCAGAGAAGAAGGGUGUUGUUCGAUAGGGCU